Molecule: ribosomal RNA, 422 nt
Filed under: uncultured archaeon
Lineage: Archaea
Description: partial 16S ribosomal RNA
Rfam family: Archaeal small subunit ribosomal RNA
Source: RNAcentral
CUACGGGAGGCAGCAGUCACGGAAACUUUACAAUGCGCGAAAGCGUGAUAAGGGUAUCCCAAGUGCUUUGCUUAUUGUAAGGCUUUUGCCAAGUGUAAAGAGCUUGGCGAAUAAGUGGUGGGUAAGACUGGUGCCAGCCGCCGCGGUAACACCAGCGCCACAAGUGGUAACCACGUUUAUUGGGCCUAAAGCGUUCGUAGCCGGUUUGAUAAGUUUCUUGUGAAAUUGUUUGGCCUAACCAAACAACGUGCAAGAAAUACUGUCUAACUUGGGACCGGGAGGAGUUAGAGGUAUUCCAUGGGGAGCGGUAAAAUGCUAUAAUCCUUGGAGGACCACCAAUGGCGAAGGCUUCUAACUAGAACGGAUCCGACGGUCAGGAACGAAGGCUAGGGGAGCAAAGCGGAUUAGAUACCCGCGUAGUC